Molecule: ribosomal RNA, 465 nt
Filed under: uncultured bacterium
Lineage: Bacteria
Description: partial 16S ribosomal RNA
Rfam family: Bacterial small subunit ribosomal RNA
Source: RNAcentral
AACACAUGCAAGUCGAACGGCAGCACAGAGGAGCUUGCUCCUUGGGUGGCGAGUGGCGCACGGGUGAGGAAUACAUGGGUAAUCUGCCUUCAAGUUUGGGAUAACCAGUCGAAAGAUUGGCUAAUACCGGAUAAGACCACAUGAACUGCGGUUCAAGAGGUCAAAGGUUUUUCGCUUGAAGAUGAGCCCAUGUGGGAUUAGCUAGUUGGUGAGGUAAUGGCUCACCAAGGCGACGAUCCCUAACUGGUCUUAGAGGAUGAUCAGUCACACUGGAACUGAGACACGGUCCAGACUCCUACGGGAGGCAGCAGUAGGGAAUAUUGCGCAAUGGGGGAAACCCUGACGCAGCGACGCCGCGUGAGUGAUGAAGGCCUUCGGGUCGUAAAGCUCUGUCGUAUGGGACUAACAAAAUGAAGGUACCAUGCAAGAAAGGAUCGGCUAACUUCGUGCCAGCAGCCGCCGUAA